This 60-nucleotide transfer RNA is filed under the name Actinomycetota bacterium. Its description in RNAcentral is "Actinobacteria bacterium tRNA-Ala". It matches the Rfam family "tRNA", at positions 7 to 64 of the family's 71-position model. From Rfam's summary of the family: Transfer RNA (tRNA) molecules are approximately 80 nucleotides in length. Their secondary structure includes four short double-helical elements and three loops (D, anti-codon, and T loops). Further hydrogen bonds mediate the characteristic L-shaped molecular structure. tRNAs have two regions of fundamental functional importance: the anti-codon, which is responsible for specific mRNA codon recognition, and the 3' end, to which the tRNAs corresponding amino acid is attached (by aminoacyl-tRNA synthetases). tRNAs cope with the degeneracy of the genetic code in two manners: having more than one tRNA (with a specific anti-codon) for a particular amino acid; and 'wobble' base-pairing, i.e. permitting non-standard base-pairing at the 3rd anti-codon position. The record is from RNAcentral. Lineage: Bacteria; Bacillati; Actinomycetota.
AUGGCGCAGCUGGUAGCGCACCUGCAUGGCAUGCAGGGGGUCAGGGGUUCAAGUCCCCUU